Molecule: long non-coding RNA, 4435 nt
Filed under: Anolis carolinensis (green anole)
Lineage: Eukaryota; Metazoa; Chordata; Lepidosauria; Squamata; Anolidae
Description: lncRNA (ENSACAG00000038603.1)
Source: RNAcentral
UUCUCUUCCCCCUUCUUCCUCUUGGAUUCUUCCUUCCCCGGCGGCACACAGCGACGCAAGCACGCAUCAACAGAGGCGGAAGGGGGGGGGGGAUUAGGGGGAAGAAAAGGGGGAAGAAAGGGAGAGAGAGACUUCCGGCCUCGAUCUCUCACACAGCGACGAGGGAGACGGACGCGAGCACAACGCGCCUGGAGAGGGAGAAAGAGAGGGAGGCAGAGAGACCACCACAGCCAAGCGCUUUCACACAUCCCCCCCCGCCUUACACACACAAACACACACACACAUCCAACGCCUGCUCUUUCUUUCCUCUCCCGCUUUCCCCCCUCGCAACCCCAAAGCAGCACACACACACAGAGAGACACACACACACACACAGAGACAGCACUUCCAGGUAUUUGCUUAGUGGCUGGGCGCCUUUAUUUCUCUCCUACCCACCCACCCUCCUUCUUUAACUCUCUCUUUCCUCCCCCCUCCCUUACACUCCCUCCUUGGCUCCUCACCGCCCUUUACAGUUUGUUUACAAGUCUCAAAGUUGCCAUUGAGCCGCUGCCAAAGACACCUCGGGAUCCUUACACCUACCAAAUAUCAAUAUUUUUCGCAUCCUUCUCCCCGUCUCCUUUGUGUCAGGGAUUGAAAGAGAGAGAGAUGUGCGACUAAAUUAAAAGACAGAGCAGGCGACUUUUAAAAGCCAAGCCCCCCCUCUCUUCCCCAACCAAAUCCAGAGACUGGUAAGUAAGUAAUUGUUAUUUUUUUUUUCAAAAAUCCCUUUCCUUUUUUUUCUUUCUUCUUCCCCUUUCUUUUCCUUCCUUUCUGCCUCUCUCUCUCUCUCUUGGACCGCUCGGGUUGUUGUGAAGUCGAUGAAUGCGAGUCUUGGGGAAUUAAAAAAAAAAAAGCGCGGCUGGAUUAAUUUAUUAAUUACUCUCCCGCCCCUCCUCCUCCUGAAUGGGAAAUGUGACCUUUGAUCUCGCCUGUCUCCAGGAGAGCAGAAAUGCCAUAUUUCACCCCACACAGCCAUGGUGGGGUUCUGAAUCGGGGAUUUUUAGCUGCUUUUGAUUAUUUCUAUUUUAUUGUAUUUUUAAAUCAAUCGCUGUGUCUUAAGGCCCUUCCACACAGCCUUAUAACCCAGAAUAUCAAGGCUCAAAAUCCCACAAUAUCUGCUUUGAACUGGGUUAUCUGAGUCCACACUGCCAUAUAUUCCAGUUCAAAGCAUUUUAUAGGAUUUUAUUCAGCUGUGUGGAAGGGGCCUCUGACACCUUUUUUGCGCUCGGGAGAUGCAUUGAUUCAACAAUAAUGACCCGCUUGGUGGACACCAUAAUUUUCUAGUUUCUGGUAGCAAUAAUAAUUUAAAAAUACCUUUUAUUUGGAAGGUGGAUAGAAAAGCUGCAAUGGGAGCAAAAAGAGCUUUUGUGGAAGGGAAACAGAGCUUUUGUGGAAGGGUAAGGCACUUUUCAGUGCUGCAGAAAUGCACACACCAAUGCAUGUUUGUGUUAGAAGUCUGUUUUUUUAAAAUUUUUAGUAAAGGAUCCAUACAUUGUGUUGUCAAAGGUUUUCAUGGCCAGAAUCACUGGGUUGCUGUGAGUUUUCCAAGCUGUAUGGCCAUGUUCCAGAAGCAUUGUCUCCUGAUGUUUCGCCUACAUUUGUGGCAGGCAUCCUCAGAGGUUGUGAGGUCUGAUGGAAACUAAGCAAGUGGGUUUUCUAUAUCUUUGAAAUGUCCAAGGGUGGGAGAAAGAACUCUUGUCUGAUCAAUGCUAAUCAAGGUGAUCAAUUGCAACAUUCGCAUUUGCCUCCAUCAGAGAGUAUUUUUUUCUCCCACCUUGGACAUUCCAUAGAUAUAUAAAACCCCACUUGCCUAGUUUCCAACAAACCUCACAACCACUGAGGAUGCCUGCCAUAGAAACAUCAGGAGAGAAUGCUUCUGGAACAUGGCCAUACAGCCCGAAAAACUCACAGCAACCCAGAUCCAUACAUUUGCGCUAUGUGAGUGGAUUUGCAUGCACUGAAUGAGGAAAACUACUCAAAUGAAGUCAUUGCUGUUGAAUGAAGUGAAAAUGUAGUUUGGAUUUUGGGGAAAGUCGCCUUAUUUUUCUCCUUGCUUUGUGUGCGUGUUGAGUCUCUUUGCCACAGAUUUCCCAACAGAGAAGCAACAUUUCCAGUUUUUUUUCUCUGAUGUGAAAUUGCAGAGGUGGCUUCAGACCUAAGGUCUUUGAGAAGUGAAAGAUGCCUGCUGCAUAUUACUAUUUUUUGUUAGAUUCAAUCCCCCAGCAUCUGGGUUAGUUUAUUCCAGUUUUUCUUCUUGAUUUAUCUCAUUACUUCAGGGCUAAAGUUCUUUUUUCUUCUUCUUUUUUUUGCUUUGUCCUGACUUUUGUAGAGGAGGGUUAGAGAGGCUGGUUGUUUUGUUUUUUUAAGCUGGUAGGUUGGGCUGGAAACGCUUCAUUAGCCUAAUUAGGACUGCAAUUAGUAUAAUUGAUUAUUUUUUCAACUAGGAAUGGUGCUUAAAGCCCUAAGGAAGGCCCCUUUGAGGUGUCUCUGGAGGUCUCGGUUUGACUUUUUACCUGCAAGUAAAACAAGGCUUUGCAGAAGGGGACUUUGGAUCUGAAAGAAGUAGAAUUGCCUUGCUUUGCAUCCAGUUUGAUUUGUGUUUUGUUUCCUGAAAAAGGGGGAAAGCAUGCCAUCUUCCAGUGUGUUAAAAAAUAAAAUAAUCUCUGUGUUGUCAAAGGCUUUCAUGGCCAGAAUCACUGGGUUGCUGUGAGUUUUCCAAGCUGUAUGGCCAUGUUCCAGAAGCAUUCUCUCCUGACAUUUUGCCCACAUCUAUGGCAGGCAUCCUCAGAGGUUGUGAGGAAUAUUGGAAACUAGGCGAGGGUGGUCUAUAUAUCUGUGGAUAAUCCACCACCGACAUCAAAAGAGCUGCAAGGCCAAGAAUAAGCCAUGAGAGUAAAGACAAAGAUCCACCCAGAGGAAAAGUGUUCUUACCAUACAUCAAGGGAACCACUGACCAUAUAGGGAAGCUGAUGAAGAUACAAAACCUACAAACUUUCUACAGACCCACUAAGAAAAUCCAACAAAUGCAAAGGACAAAGAGGGAUCCUCUCACCUCUGCAGGAGUCUACCAUACACCCAUGCAGCUGUGGACCACCAAAUGCAGCAUUGCCCAAACAUGAAUCAAAGAACAUGAAAGGCACUUCAGACUAACUCAACCAGAGAAGUCAACCAUAGUAGAGCACUUGAUGAACCAACCUGGACACAGCAUAUUAUUUGAGAACACGGAAAUGCUGGACCACUCUCACAACCACCAUGUCUGACUACACAGAAAAGCCAUUGAAAUCCACAAGCAUGUGGACAAUUCCAACCAAAAGGAGGAAACCAUGAAAAUGAACCAACUUUGGCUACCUUUAAAAAAAAAAAACCUCUAAAAUCAGGACAGUAAAUAAAGAACAACAUCGUGAAAACAGGGAAAUUCCAAACAAGAAACCAUCAAGAGCUGCUAACACCUCCCAACAAAGGAUUUCCCCAGGCAGGAAUCAGUCAGGUCUUGAAGCUGCAAGGCCUUUCAGUCCUAAUAGGGUGAUUAAUUGUGAUAUCCACACUUGUCUCCAAGAGACAAGAGUUCUUUUUCCCACCCUAGACAUUCUGCAGUGUCUUGCCUAGUUUCCAAUAUGCCUCACAAUCUCUGAGGAUGCCUGCCAUAGAUGUGGGUGUAACGUCAGGAGAGAAUGCUUCUAGAACAUGAGCAUACAGUCUGGGAAAACUCACAACAACCCAGUCUGAUAUGUAUUUUGUUUUCUGUAAAAGGGGGAAAGCAUGCCAUAUUCCAGUGUGUUACAAACUAAAAUAAUCUCUCUCCCAUGGUAUUGUGAGAAUGGCCUAUGAGAAGGAGGGGUGGGGGUGGGGAAGAGCUAAAAUCCAUUAACACUAAUAAAAGGGGACAGGCAGUUUCAUCCCACUUACAUUAAUGCAGGCUACCAUAUGCAUCUUGCAAAUCCUUAAAAGAGCCUUUAAUAUAAUGAAUAUUAGAGGUUGUGUGUGCAUGCAUGUGACUAUAUAUGUGCAGACAAGAUGCUGGGACGACCUUCAUGGCUUGUCUAUUUAGCAGCAAAGAAGGGAGAUGUUCAACGGGUGAAACUGCCUUCCCCAUGCCUUCAUGUUACUUGGGGAACUGGGGGAGAAAAGCAAAGAAAAGCAGGCCUUGGGACCCUUUAGGAUAAUGAAAGUAGGCUAAGAUCCAAACUGAUGGCCCUCAGAUGCAGGGAAAUCGCCUUUGCUCUAUACCUCCCUAUCAUUUAAUGUUGUUUGUGGGGAUUGGGGGAGAAAAGCACCCACUUCCCAAGAGAAACCUGAUCUUGGGGUGCUUUUAUGAAAAUGUAGGUGGUCUUGGGGUGCUUUUAUGAAAGUGUAGGUGGGCUAAGAUCUAAACUGUUGGCCCAGAUGCAGGGAAAUG